AGGUAGUAGUGAAGCGAAAGCGGAACGAUCCUCGGGAAGCCUACACAGGUGCUGCAUGGCUGUCGUCAGCUCGUGCCGUGAGGUGUUAGGUUAAGUCCUGUAACGAGCGCAACCCCUGCCGUUAGUUACAAGUGUCUAACGGGACUGCCCGGCAAAACUGGGAGGAAGGUGGGGAUGACGUCAAGUCAGCAUGGCCUUUAUGUCCUGGGCUACACACACGCUACAAUGGCCGGUACAAUGGGUUGCCAAGCCGCGAGGCGGAGCCAAUCCUCUAAAGCCGGUCUCAGUUCGGAUUGUAGGCUGCAACCCGCCUGCAUGAAGUUGGAGUUGCUAGUAACCGCAGGUCAGCCACACUGCGGUGAAUACGUUCCCGGGCCUUGUACACACCGCCCGUCACGUCAUGGAAGCUGGUAACACCUGAAGCCGGUGAGCUAACCGCAAGGAAGCAACCGUCGAAGGUGGGACUGGUGACUGGGACGAAGUCGUAACAAGGUAACCAAGGGCGAA
Molecule: ribosomal RNA, 507 nt
Filed under: uncultured organism
Description: bacterial SSU rRNA
Rfam family: Bacterial small subunit ribosomal RNA
Source: RNAcentral